Molecule: ribosomal RNA, 483 nt
Filed under: uncultured bacterium
Lineage: Bacteria
Description: partial 16S ribosomal RNA
Rfam family: Bacterial small subunit ribosomal RNA
Source: RNAcentral
UUGAACGCUGGCGGCAGGCCUAACACAUGCAAGUCGAGCGGAUGAAGGGAGCUUGCUCCUGGAUUCAGCGGCGGACGGGUGAGUAAUGCCUAGGAAUCUGCCUGGUAGUGGGGGAUAACGUCCGGAAACGGGCGCUAAUACCGCAUACGUCCUGAGGGAGAAAGUGGGGGAUCUUCGGACCUCACGCUAUCAGAUGAGCCUAGGUCGCAUUAGCUAGUUGGUGGGGUAAAGGCCUACCAAGGCGACGAUCCGUAACUGGUCUGAGAGGAUGAUCAGUCACACUGGAACUGAGACACGGUCCAGACUCCUACGGGAGGCAGCAGUGGGGAAUAUUGGACAAUGGGCGAAAGCCUGAUCCAGCCAUGCCGCGUGUGUGAAGAAGGUCUUCGGAUUGUAAAGCACUUUAAGUUGGGAGGAAGGGCAGUAAGUUAAUACCUUGCUGUUUUGACGUUACCAACAGAAUAAGCACCGGCUAACUUCGUG